UGGAUCACCUCCUAACAGGGAGACAACAAAAUGUCUAAUAUUAUUAUUUUGUCACCUUAGGUCGAUCGGUAUCUCACGUUUUUAAUUUAUUAAGAAUUUCAUUUCCUAAGUUUUUCUAGGUCACACCCAUUAUUUUUCCUGGGCCAUUAGCUCAGGUGGUUAGAGCGCACCCCUGAUAAGGGUGAGGUCCCUGGUUCAAGUCCAGGAUGGCCCAUAUCUCUAUGUUGGGGGUAUAGCUCAGUUGGUAGAGCGCCUGCUUUGCAAGCAGGAUGUCAGCGGUUCGAGUCCGCUUACCUCCACUGAUUACCACCUCUUCCAUAACCGAUAGAAAGGAAAUGUUUUGAGUUGUGAUCAUCAUUCUGAACGAAUCUAGCUUCCUAAUGAAAUCAUUAAGAUGCUGGACUCAUUGAAUUAAUUUUCAUUGUUUUCAGAGAACCUUGACAACUGCAUAGAUUAUUUUUAAAGACAAUAAGCAUCUUUAAUGAUGCAGAUUUAUUAUUUGUGCGAAUGCAUUAAUAACAAUUCUAUUAAGCUGAUGCUUCAAUUUUUGAAGUUAUUGGUCAAGCUACAAAGGGCUCACGGAGGAUACCUAGGCACACAGAGGCGAUGAAGG
This 613-nucleotide transfer RNA is filed under the name uncultured Prochlorococcus sp. RNAcentral's name for it is "partial contains 16S ribosomal RNA, 16S-23S ribosomal RNA intergenic spacer, and 23S ribosomal RNA". The stretch from base 227 to 299 matches the Rfam family "tRNA". The record is from RNAcentral. Lineage: Bacteria; Bacillati; Cyanobacteriota; Cyanophyceae; Synechococcales; Prochlorococcaceae.